GUUUCCAGUGCCCUUUUUCAUGACAAUAGAAGAACUCUGCUUCCUUUGGAUUGGAUAAGGGAGUAGUAGAACCACCUUUGGACCCACUAGAAUUGGAUACAUCAUGAGACUUUCCCUUGUGAUUCUUUGUAGGAGCUUUCCUUUUCUUCCCUUCCCAUGUCCAAUUUCUAGGACCGAGGCAGCAGUAUGAGUGAAUACCACAGACUUGCAUUUUAAACUACUUUCAGUAGUUCUUAGAAGGCCUUGAACUUGUUUAGAGUGACUUCCUCCUUGUUCAUAUGAUAAGUCAUACAGAGCUGAUUAUAACAAGGAGGCAAGGAGUGUAGGAUAAUGUCAAUAACCAACUCUUCAUCAAAGUUGACAUUUAACUUCAUAAAGCGGUCCACAUAUCUCUGCAUCUUUUGCAAGUGGGCCAUGAUGGACUCUCUCCAUCCUUCAUUUUAGUUGUUAUCAUGGAGACAAUGAUUUCAUACCUUUCUUGUCGAGCACUCUGAUGGUAAGUCCUGGUGUAUCUCGAAAGGCCAGAAGUCCUCAUAGGACUUUUGAAGCUUAGAAGUCAUAGUGGUUAGCAUGAUGCACGAUACCUUUGUCGCAUCCUUUUCAUGAGCCCUAUACUCAGCCAAUUGCUCAGGAGUACCAGUUUCUUCAUCAAUCUCCUUUAGCUCUUUGUUGAGGACAUAUUUGUUUUCUUCGUAUCGAAUGGCCAUGUGAAUGUUUCAAAUCCAGUCAUUGAAAUUCGACCCAUUAAAAAUGACCCUCCCACAUAAGUUCAUGAAGGAGAAAGAUCCAGAAUCAUUUUGUAACACCCAGUUUCUAGCUAGCUAAUACAAAUUUAAGGGUUAUAAAAUAAUCUGGAUAAUAAUUUCAUUCAAGGAUAAUUUAUGGGGUUAGAUAGUCGAGUUAUUACACAAAACACAUUUACGGGUGAAGUGGACGAAUUAGAUCAAGUUAAAUAAGAGCUUUAAGUGAAUUGUUGAUUAAGCUCACUGCGAAGGUUAAUAAUAAUAAUAAUAAUUUGAAUGUGUUAGUCCAAGGGCCAAACAGUAAUAUUCGGAAAUCAAAUUGUUAAGACAAUCAGAGGGUUUUAAUCGUCAAGCUUCAAGAAACCUAGGGACCAAACCUAUAACCUUCAACACCAUGUUCACUCUUCCUGAUUCGUCGAUGGAAGCUUGUCGUUUUCCCUAUCAUGGUCCUGCAAUUGUUGAUGCAAAUGUAGGGAGCUGGUCCCAUUCCUUUACUCGUUCCAUUGGCCAUUUAAAUCUAGUGUGACUCUCCAAUAUGUAUGGAUCCCUUCUCUUCAAUCUGCAAUUUCAAAAAUUAGUGAGAGAAAGAGAAAUGUAGCAUAGUGAGGGCUUUCGUAUGCGGGUGUGCAAGCUCCGAUGGUCUCUCGAGCCCCCGAUGUUGUUCGUGGUCCCUUCUGACAAGUGUAGACGGGGUCCUUCGGCAGUUGAAUGGAGAGAAUUGUGAAAUCUUUAAAGGUUAUUCCCCUGUCAUCGUCCAAACGAGAGAACCGAUCGAUGGGAGCAGGAACAUCAAGAGUGUUUGAGUGAGGUGAGCUCGAUUUUCAGAGAUGCCGAAGACAUCAGGCUCACAGAGGCAUAUUCUCUUGAGCCACCUGUGAGCACUGAACCCGAAUAAGGACGAGAGAGAAAAGUAAUUCAUCUCGUUUUCUUCUUUCCGCAGCAUAAUCUCAGGUGCAAGUGAGUUUAGAUCCCAUCGAAUCAUGCUUUCAAUUGUGCUUUGUCUCCAUCUCCAUGGCUACACCCAAGAAGCGUUCCAGAUGGAGGGAAUGGGGAUUUGCGGAUGACCAUGGUCAACGGAUGAAAUGGAGACGUUGGGGAUGAGGUGAUUUUCAAGCAUCGAUGAAGGAACCUACUUCAAUUCCAUUGGAGCGUAGGAGGAGUUUAGUGGCGCAUUGCUAGGUCCGACAUGGGAUGCGUCGCUGGAGGUUGAUUGCACCGACCCUCUGAGGACGCAAUGGGCAAUAGAGUUCAAGCAAGGAUGGAGUAUUUUGACCUAAUCCUAAUCCACCUCAUCUUUUAAGGUAUUAGCCUUUAAUUCAUUUGGGCUAAUAUCAUAUAGGUUCAAUUAGUUUAUUUUGGGCUUAUAUCAUAUGGAUUCAAUUAGUUUAUUUUGGGCUUAUAUCAUAUGGAUUCAAUUAGUUUAUUUUGGGCUUAUAUCAUAUGGAUUCAAUUAGUUUAUUUUGGGCUUAUAUCAUAUGGAUUCAAUUAGUUUAUUUUUAGGCUAAGUGACAUUGGGUUUAAGUUCAAGAUAAAUAUAAUAUAUGGUAAAGCCAUAUUAUUUAUAAUUAGAACAAAAAUGGAUUUUUGUUAUCUAAUUUAGUAGAUGGCAAAUAAUUAUGAAUAUGGUUUGCGUAAAUUAAUUACAAGGUAAUUAAUUUAAUAAAAAUUAACUAGAUUGAUAAAGUUGUAUGGAUUUUCUUAGGUCUAGGAUUUUAAUAUAGUAUGGUUAAAAUAUUAACGACUUUUAUGUAUAGUAUUUUAACGAGAAGGACUCUAGGAGUUAGCAUUUCCCCACAUAAUAAUGCAAGUAAAUAAAAAGUACAUUAUGAAAUAUUAAUGAGUAAUAUUUGAAGUAUGAACUAAGUAAGGAGUAUUAAUAUCAUUGUAGGUGACCAGAGAGCAGAGAAUCUGUCUUAGCUGUUUUGGUAGUAUAUUUUGUGUUUUGCUGCUUCAGGUAAGUCUCCUCAUUGUUUGUAUAGGUCUAAGGCACCAAUGUCGGCCCUUUUAGUUUAUGUAUGGUAAGAAGACCCGGUGGUUAGCCCUAGGCAUUAUGCAUGAAAGACCAGGAGGUGGCUCUUGGCACACUGUAUGUUAUUAUGUAUGAAAGACCAGGAAGCUGCUCCCGGCACACUCUAUAUUAUUAUGUAUGGUAGGAAGACCCGGGGGUUAGCCCAAGACAUUAUGUAUGAAGGACCAGGCGGUGGCUCCUGACACACUGUAUUCUAUUAUGUAUGAAAGACCAGGAGGUGGCUCCUGGCACACUGUAUGCUAAUUGGCUAAGUAGAGUAGUAUGUAUGCUAGUUGUCUUUGUGAUGCCUUCAUGGAAGACCAGGAGGUGGCUCUUGGCACUUGUCUGUGAGACCGAUGGGGUGGCCCCCAGCUUAGCAAGAAAGACCACGUGGUGGCUCGUGGCAUAAUGGCAAGACUAUGUUUGGCACAUAGCAUCUUUACUGAUUAUGAUAUAUGUAUGGCUCAUGGUUAUGUAUGACAGUAUGCAAGUAUGUGUUUAUAUGCUAGACAGUAUCCGGUUGAAAGAGACCGAAGGGGUAGGCUAGCACCCAGAUAUGCUAUGCAAUAUGUUGAUAUGUAUGGUAUGUGGUAUUUGUUGGAUUAUGUGUGUAAGCCCAUAACUAUUAUUGGUAUGUAUUCGACCCGAGAGUACCAUGGUCCAUUUAGGUUGCAUAUCAUCAGGACAAUUUGUUAGGAUGGACUUUUGAGAGAAG
RNAcentral lists this long non-coding RNA (3466 nucleotides) under Lactuca sativa (garden lettuce). RNAcentral's name for it is "long non-coding RNA (LSAT_LNC004189)". Lineage: Eukaryota; Viridiplantae; Streptophyta; Magnoliopsida; Asterales; Asteraceae. The record is from RNAcentral.